Non-coding RNA from Lolium perenne, 4321 nucleotides. Lineage: Eukaryota; Viridiplantae; Streptophyta; Magnoliopsida; Poales; Poaceae. The record is from RefSeq and is a predicted model, not a curated record.
CCUAUAAAUGUUGAAACACUACCCUCUCAACCAGGCCAUCUGAAAGGGGCAAACGAAUCUGGGUCGUCCAAUCAGGUUGCAACAGUAAAAUCAGCAUCCCACUUCUCACCUCAGCCGUCGGAUGCAGUAAUUUUUCUUUCACUUCUUGCUUAUCUGGAUGACUCCAUGACGGUUGGGCCCAUGUGCGUGCGGGGCCGGUGUUUCAGCGAGCGAUCCAGCAUAAUGACCACGUCCGUUUUGCAUACGCCGUCCGCGUCGCGCCCAUGUCCCGCGGUGAAACCUAGAUCUCGAUUCGUGAAAAUAUCUGGCCGGUGUCUCCUCUCUCUCUCUCGUCUCCGCCUCCCCACUCCUGCCCCGAGGCGCCUCCCGCUCCUCUCAUCUCUGCGGCUCCGCCGCAGGAAGAGCGGCGCCCUAGCGACCGCGGCGGAUGGACGCGGGGGCCAUCGGUGGCAGGGAGCGUGCUCCGCGGCGGCUGGACACGGGGCCGGUGACGGCAUCGUCUGGAUGCGACGGCGGCUGCGGCGAUGCUGGCCGCGGCGGCGAUGCUGGCCGCGGCGGACGCGAAGGAGGAGUCGCGCCUGGCCGAGGUCGGGCGGGAGGAGGCGGCGCGGCAGCGGGCGGCGGACGGGGGUCACCGUGCUGCGGGAGGCCAGGUGUGCCGCGGUGCAGCAGCGCAAGCGCCUCCACCCGACCCGUAGCGAGCUGCACCGGCCGCCCCACGCCCCCACCCGAGGCGGAGAGGCUAGCGGCGAGUGGUGUGGAGCUGCAUGUGAGAGGAAGGAGCAAGGGUUGGGUGUCCCUUCUUCUUGUCCUCCACGACCUUGGGUUGCAAGGAGCCAACUCGGGGAGGACUCGAGGCUCAGUGGCGUUCCUUACGGCCGCCCGGGAUCCCCUCUCCUUCAUUUAAUCCAUCUGGAGAUGAGGUCCACAUCUAAUUUUAGAGAAAUCGCGGUUCGAGCUGCGCUGGGAAGGUCUCUACUCAGCUGCGCUUCUUCCUUGCCCAGGCGUUUGCUGAUUUCUCUGAAUAUUGUUUGGACAUUGCCCAUGUAGCACUCACCCAAGUGUGUAUUGUGCUAAUAUCUACCAUGACAUGACGGGCGGAAGUCCCGGAGGAGGGUGACGGAUGGCCACGGUAGCUCGCAGCAGGACGACGAUGCAGGAGGGCGCAUGGAGCAGGGUGGCCCUUGCCUUGAGGAGCUCGUCCAUGAUCCAAUACCCAGGCGAUGGAAACGUCUAUGCAUGGUCUUUUUGGUCAUGUCGAACCCUUCUGUUGGAUAUGGAGGCCGACAAGCAACUAUCUUCUUGGCCUUCUUGUGGUGUAUUGAAUAGCAGAGUCACUGCAUCGAGUGACCGCCACUAAUGUAGUUCAAAUAUUCUGCUUAUGAUGCAGUGAGAUAAUAUGCUAGGUACCCUUCCUGUCGCCACUGCGCCAGAAUGACACUACCUCCACCAAGUAGCAGGUUUCAACAAAUGGUUCUUCUGGGUAACCAUCUCAUUGAAAUGAGGGAGCAUGAGAGGCGUGUGGUCACCACCUGCAUAUCCAACCAAAUUGUUCAGUGGAAGUAUGAAUCAGGCUGGGAGUGUUGGUACUCUCAGAACAAGGGCAAAUCUCUACUCUGUACAAUUUCAACCUGAUUCUCCCUCGCUCCAUUGCAAUUGGCUUAGCUGACCACAAUAUUUAAUAAUACGAUCUUCCCAACAUAUGAGUCCCUUAUUGUAUAUUAGCGGGACACACAAAAAUUGUUAGCUAUGCUGAGUAUUUAGAUGCAUCAACCAUAGUAUCUGGUUUUCCACUGAAUUAUUUACUUAUCCUACCAGUAUACAUAUACAACCAUGUGGUAUAAAUAAGAUAAUUAAGCUAUCUAAUUGUGUGCUUCAAUCUUUCCUUUUUAUCUAUUAAUUAUUAGAUAGGCUAAGUACAUAAUUUAAGACCAUAGGUUGGUGUUUUAGAUUAAGGGUUGGUGAUUAGCAGCAUGUGUUUAGGUGAAGAGCAUCUCGGGAUCACUCUUUACAUUUUUAUCGUCUGCAUUCACCAUUGUGCACGUAUAUAUGUUGUUUUUGAGAGAUACAUUUUGCUUGUGUGAUAUCAUUCUUGAGAAAAAAUUACAGUGCAUUGUUCUGCUACAUGUUUGGUGUUUCGCCUUACUGCCUUAGUAAGAAACUAUUUCUCAAGCAGAGGAAUACAAUUAUAUUGCCUAUUUGCCUUCUUCCAGUUUCAUUUAGCUUGCAAUAUAUGCACCAUACCAUUUCUUGUGGAAGUUGUUCUGCUACAUAGAUAGGUGUUAUUGGUGCCUGAUGAUGCACGAUAUAUUAACUAUGCCAAUGCCUCUAACCUACUAUAGCUCUAUAGAAAUUAGAAAUCUCCUAUGCAAAUGAUUCAGGUUGCCAUGGCGUGCCUCUCCUAUGCAAAUCUCACUUGUAGUACCAAAGAGAAAUUUAAAUAAGAUGGCUUCUCUACGUGUUUUUCUCCGAGUUAGAUAAAUGAAAUCAUAAGAUAGAAAAAUGUGGGUCCCUCUAUUCAGGUACAAUACCUUGGUUCAAACUAUACUAAAUUCUUUGCUUUCCACUAAAGUUAAAUUCAUCGCAUACAUGUUUUUCAUUUCAAAUACAUCUCAAAUUCAUCCCAUAAGCGAAUGAUUUCAAAUUUACUCCUUUUUCACCCUUGAAGUCAAUUGUUUCGUAAAUAUGGGAUAUCGGCUCCUUUUCAUCCUUGAAGUCAAUUGUUUAAUGUUUCGAAAAGGUCCUGAAGUACAUGAGGAAGACCGGUUAGUGGCUGACUGGCUGCUCUGAUGAAAGCAUAUGGAAGAACCAAACUGUACUGAAGCUGAGGCCAUAUUUGGACUGAAAAGCCUGGUGGACAAGGAGGACGUCGAGAACCCUCUGUACAUGAGGGACAUUGAUCACAUGGGACAAGAAAAACAGACAGAUUGUCAGCUUACUGGUUGUUCUUUAUGCUAGCUGAUUAGAAUUGUUCAUAAUGAUGCUCUGGUUAAUCUCCUCGCUGAUUACUCUAAUGUUGAUGCUCUAUUAUUAUAUUUAGAUAUGCAACAAAAGCUAUUGUGUUUCUGCCAUGCUUUAUCAUGCAAAGUUUAACUCCUUUUAAAAAUCUUUUGCCCAUUAACCAAAUGAAUGGGUUUUAGUUUGCAGCAAAAAAAAAGAAUAUACAAAAUGAAUGGGUUCAUAAACAAGGACCAUCAACUGAUAUAGUCAAAAACCAAAAGCAAAAGCCAUCAUUAUAAGGAUAUUGAGUCUGACUAAUUUUGUUGCUUGGUUCGCAGCCGGCUAUUUCUGUGUGCAGCGCCAUGAGUUGACAAGAGGAGCGUCGGCUCAAGGCGUCUACAGCCACGGAUUAACUCAAGUACUUAAUAUGCUUAGACUAUAUGGCUACUCUUAAUAACUACUGUUAUGUAGAAGGCCUAUAUGUGAUCUUCCUGUUAUAGAAAAGGUGGUUACUGCAUAUGUAGCUCUGUGCUAAAUCAUUUAGGCCAGAACCAUUUUCUGCCUAUAUGUGAUCUUCCUGUUAGGGACGCAUUAGCAUGUUGUCUGGAGUUACGAGGGUAACUAUUUACUGCCUUGGGAUGGAUUUCUUUUGCUCUGACAAACUGCCACUUUAAGUGAUUUCAGUGUGCCAAAUUUUGUAGCACUGUCGCUUGCCAGCAUAGAAAGAAGGCGAUCGAUAGCUUGCAGGGGAAGAUGUGGAUGUGAUCUAAUCUUGACAUCUUGUUCGCUUGUCUGAUGUUUGAGCUUGUAGUUUCUACCAUUGCAUACAUCAUUGAGUUACGAAAAUCCAUGGUGAGUGCACCUAUCUUGUGAUGUUGCCAGCGGCAAGGUGAGCCAUGCUGCUGAAGGUUUAUGGACAUCCAAGCCUUUAGCUUUGUGCUGAUCAUAAGUCACUGCAUUUCUAGUGGGCCAUGCUGCUGAAGCUUUAGCCCUCAAAAGAAGAUUUAAAGAGGCUGCACAUGUUCAAUGUCAGUUGCUGCUGCUGGGCGAGCUGUUACAGUCACACUGAGGCUGACGCCGAACAAUGCUUUGCAUUUCUGGGGAAUCAUCUCAUUUAGACGACGUAAGAAACAAGCUCUGAAACAAGACAUGGACAUGUAAUGAACCAGGCGGUCUUAGUCAUUUUAGUUCUCGCUGGCAUUUUAAUAUGCACUUCUAAUGAGUUCGUGUAACCUGCACUUUCUGUUGGCAUCGGUUUCAGAUGUUUGUAUACCGACUUGUUAGAGUACUAUAAUCUACAUUUAAUUUCCUUUCAUGUACUUCAAUUUACAAUCAGAACUUUAAAUAUAUGUGAUGCUUCUGGUACAAACCAUUCGAUUUA